Molecule: ribosomal RNA, 223 nt
Filed under: uncultured bacterium
Lineage: Bacteria
Description: partial 16S ribosomal RNA
Rfam family: Bacterial small subunit ribosomal RNA
Source: RNAcentral
ACGCUCGACACCUACUGGAGGCAGCAGUAGGGAAUCUUCCACAAUGGACGCAAGUCUGAUGGAGCAACGCCGCGUGAGUGAAGAAGGUUUUCGGAUCGUAAAGCUCUGUUGUUGGUGAAGAAGGAUAGAGGUAGUAACUGGCCUUUAUUUGACGGUAAUCAACCAGAAAGUCACGGCUAACUACGUGCCAGCAGCCGCGGUAAUCUGAGCGGGCUGGCAAGGC